AUGAAUUGGUGGAGAGUUUUCGAUAUCUUUUGAUAGUACCACUUAAACGACGAGAACCAUGAAAAUAAAAUAGUAUCAAUUACAAUGAAUAUUUGCUUUUUAAAUCCAUCAUUUCAAGUAAUGUCGUUUUUUAAACCAAACAUGGUGUAAUGAGAAGGGUGAUAUAAAACGUGAAAUAUGUUAUCAGGUGGCGUUUUGUUUGUCUAUUAGGGAUGAGCAUGAGUAUUUGUAGUUUUCAUAUCAACAGGUU
RNAcentral lists this long non-coding RNA (250 nucleotides) under Helianthus annuus (common sunflower). Its description in RNAcentral is "sRNA HanXRQr2_Chr11g0471161". The record is from RNAcentral. Lineage: Eukaryota; Viridiplantae; Streptophyta; Magnoliopsida; Asterales; Asteraceae.